UCCGGAGGGUGCAAGCGUUAAUCGUAAUUACUGGGCGUCGCGCGCGCGUAGGUGGCUUGAUAAGCCGGUUGUGAAAGCCCCGGGCUCAACCUGGGAACGGCAUCCGGAACUGUCAAGCUAGAGUGCAGGAGAGGAAGGUAGAAUUCCCGGUGUAGCGGUGAAAUGCGUAGAGAUCGGGAGGAAUACCAGUGGCGAAGGCGGCCUUCUGGACUGACACUGACGCUGAGGUGCGAAAGCGUGGGUAGCAAACAGG
RNAcentral lists this unclassified non-coding RNA (253 nucleotides) under uncultured Halomonadaceae bacterium. RNAcentral describes it as "contains 16S-23S intergenic spacer region". It matches the Rfam family "Bacterial small subunit ribosomal RNA", at positions 524 to 776 of the family's 1533-position model. The record is from RNAcentral. Lineage: Bacteria; Pseudomonadati; Pseudomonadota; Gammaproteobacteria; Oceanospirillales; Halomonadaceae.